AGCUGGUCUCAGUCACAUUAGCAAGCGAAUGCACAGCUGGAGGAGGUAAGCCGUGGAAUUGAAGCAGCAGUGGAUGUGUGAAAUAUGGUCAGUGGGGAUGCAGUGUGCAUACAUCAAAUCUGUAUACUCUGUGUGUUGCUGUGUACAGUGUUGUAAACAUGACAAGAGGAGUCUAAAAAUGCAGCAUUCGUUGUGAAAUAUGUUGCAGAGAGUGAAUGAGGCAUACUGUGUUAAGCAUUGUGUUUGGUGGUGACUCAAGCAAUAGUAUGCAUUGUGUGUAGUGUAGUUAGUCUGGUUUAAUUCCACGGUAUGCUUGUCAUUCCCACUAGUUAUUGCAGUGUGUGGUUUUUGUCACUGUGAAGCUACAGUGUUGUGUACUUAGUGAUUAUGAUGAUCUGAUGUGUGUGUGUGUGUGUGUGUAUAUAUAUAUAUAUAUAUAUAUAUAUACUGUAUAAUUUAUUUUAUAUAUAAGAUUAGCAUUAAAUGGCUUUCAAGUAAAGUCUACAUGUGUGCUUUUUACACAAUUUUUGAGGGUUUAAAAAUUGAAAUAUAAUAUAUGAAUUCUUAGGCACACAUACAUUAGAUUUUCACUAUGCUUCAGUAUGUUUAUACAAAGACAUAAAGCUCCACCAUCAUUCGGUUAUUUAGGGUGCAAUGUGUGUUUUAUUCAAUCAUCCCAAAUGACAGGCAACGUUUCGACACAAUGUGUGUCUUUAUCAAGCAGGGGCUUUUACUCACGGCACAGGUACCAAAAAUCUUUGAGCUUGAAUAGUGCCCCUCUUAUGCACUUAGUUUCAGUAUGUUUAUAUGUAGUUUGUUUACAUUGUGUGCAAUGAGAAUGUAUUUGUUGUGUGCGGACUGUGCACACAACAUGUUUCAGAAUGCAUGGCGAGAAUAUAUGCAGUGUUUGUAUAGAUUGUUUAUUUUCAAUGUUGUGCAAUCUUCAUAUUUGCAGUACUAGUUCACUGAGAAACACAGGCAAUGUACAGAGUGUGAGUAUUUUUUAUGUUGCUUUCAGUGCAGUACAAAUAUACCUUCUGUGUAGAGUAUGCACACUAAGACUGUAUCUACCAUGUGCAAUGUGUGUCUGGAUAGUAUAUGUUCAAUGUGUACAGGAUACAUGGGCAGCAUAUGUGUACUUUUAUAGUGUAUUUAUGAGCAUAAACUGAGAGUGAAAUGUAUUUGUAGUGUGCCAUAUGCAUCAUAAACGUGUUUGCAGUGUGUCCUGUGUACUUGGCACUUUGUGUGAGUAGUGCUGCACUUUGGGUAUGGAAUUUAACUGUUCAAUUAAUUGGGUUCCAUAAAGAAGAACAAUUUUUGCGAUUGGAGAAUAGGGGGAUAGAAUUUCAGAUAGAAUAAGGAAGGCAUUUCCAUUGGGAAAAUGAAAGAAUCCAUGGAAAGUAUACUUACAGUGUAACAUGUGUACACGGUUGGUGUAUAUGCAAUGCAGAGUGUCAAUACGUGUGAAGAUUGUGCAUGCAGCAUACCUGCCAAGUGUCCCUACUUAGGACGAACAGUCCCUAUUUUGGGGCCAAAUCCCCUGUCCCUUUUUUCUAUUCUAAUCUUCCUCUCUUCUAGGAAUUCCAGGGCCGUCUUUAACGGGGGGCAAAUCGGGCAGCUGGCCCGGGCUUGAUAUUCCUGGGGGGCCCAAAGCAGCUGCCUCGUGGGCCCACUGCCCUUAACAAUUUAUUUUUUUACCCCCAUGUCCCCACCAGUGCUGGUUGUUUGGCUGCACUGGGGCCUCCAUACUAGGAGGUCCUAUCGGGUAAGCCAUGCACUUAAUGCCACCCUGUGGGCAUUUGUCAGCAGGGGCCCGGUCUGAGCUGUGGCCCUUUAACAGUGCACUCGGGCCCCCUUCCUAUCGGCAGCCAUGGAGGAAGUGGCAGCCAGUCACUUCCUCCCAGAGAAACCAUAGCCAUGUGGAAGGGGGAGGAGUCAGCGAAGAAGGUGAAGGGCCUGGAGCACCAGAGACUAACUCCCAACAGCCUCAACCAGCACAGUGGACCCAAGGGAAGCCACCCUCCCGCAAAAAGGUCAGAAACUGGAGGGUGGCUAUAAAAGUCAGUCUGUCUGUCUGUGUAUCUGUCUGUGCGUGUGUCAGUAUGUCUGUCAGUGUAUGUAUCUGUGUGUGUCAGAAUGUCUGUCAGUAUAUGGAUCUGUGCGUGUGUCAGAAUGUCUGUCAGUGAAUGUGUCUGUAUGUGUCAGUAUGUUUGUCAGUGUUUGUAUCUAUGUGUGUCAGUAAACAUUCAGUAUGUCUAUCAGUGUAUGUGUCUGUGUGUGUAAGUAUACCUGUCAUUGUAUGUAUCUGUGUGUGUGUCAGUAUGUCUGUCAGUGUAUGUGUCUGUGUCAGUAUUUCUGUUGGUGUAUGUUUUUGUGUGUGUGACAGUAUGUCUGUCAGUCUAUUUGCCUGCGUGUGUCAAUAUGUCUGUCAGUAUAUGUGUCUGUGUAUCUGUAUGUAUCUUUAUGGUGUCAUGGUGUAUAUCUAUGUAUCUGUAUGUUGUCAAUGUGUAUCUGUAUGUUGUCAAUGUGUAUCUGUGUGUGUAUGUGUCAGUGUGUAUAUCCGUAUGUAUGUCUGUGUAUCUGUAUGUAGUCAGUGUGUGUAUCUGUGUGUCUGAGUAUCUGCAUGUGAGUCAGUGUUUGUAUCUGUAUGUCUUUAUAUCUACAUGUGUGUCAGGUUGUGUAUCUGUUUGUCUGUAUAUGUGUCAGUGUGUGUAUCUGUAUAUGUAUAUGAAUGUGUGUCAGUGUGUGUAUAUAAGUCUUUAUAUCUGUAUGUGUUUCAGUGCGUAUAUAUGUGUAUCUGCAUGUGAUUCAGUGUGUGUGUGUGUAUCUGUGUGGGUGUAUGUGUUUUUUAACAGUGUGUGUGGCAGUGUAUGUGUAUAUGUGCAUACAUCUCCGCAUUCGAAACACCAACACUACACACAAAUACACCUAUGCAUUUAAACUUCAGCAAGUCUUUUAUUAGAAACAUAGAAACAUAGAAUGUGACGGCAGAUAAGAACCAUUCGGCCCAUCUAGUCUGCCCAAUUUUCUAAAAACUUUCAUUAGUCCCUAGCCUUAUCUUAUAGUUAGGAUAGCCUUAUGCCUAUCCCAUGCAUGCUUAAACUCCUUUACUGUGUUAACCUCUACCACUUCAGCUGGAAGGCUAUUCCAUGCAUCCACUACCCUCUCAGUAAAGUAAUACUUCCUGAUAUUAUUUUUAAACCUUUGUCCCUCUAAUUUAAGACUAUGUCCUCUUGUUGUGGUAGUUUUUCUUCUUUUAAAUAUAGUCUCCUCCUUUACUGUGUUGAUUCCCUUUAUAUAUUUAAAUGUUUCUAUCAUGUCCCCCCUGUUAUUGAAACUACAUACAAACACAGUCUUGAAUUAAAACGUCAACACUACAUACAAACACACCUCUGCAUUAACCCCUUAAAGGACCACUCUAGGCACCCAGACCACUUCAGCUUAAUGAAGUGGUCUGGGUGCCAGGUCCCUCUAGGAUUAACCCCUUUUUUUUUUAUAAACAUAGCAGUUUCAGAGAAACAGCUAUGUUUAUAAAUGGGUUAAUCCAGCCUCCAAAUCCUCUAGUGGCUGUCUCAUUGACAGCCGCUAGAGGCGCUUGCGUGCUUCUCACUGUGAAAAGUGUAAAUGCUUUCCUAUGAGACAGGCUGAAUGCGCGCGCAGCUCUUGCCGCGCAUGCGCAUUCAGCCCAGGAGGAGGAUCGGAGGCGGAGAGGAGGAGGAGAGCUCCCCGCCUGGGGUGGGGGCACCCUCAGCGCACUAUAGUGCCAGGAAAACGAGUAUGUUUUUCUGGCACUAUAGUGGUCCUUUAAGGACACAUGACAUGUGUGACAUGUCAUGAUUCCCUUUUAUUCCAGAUGUUUGGUCCUUAAGGGGUUAAACACCAAAAGUGUAUAUACAUAUACCUCUGCAUUCAAAAACCAACACUACACAUAAAAACAUGCUAACAUUCAAACACACAAAGACUGCUCAGGGCUAAAUGAAUAUGUUUAGAAAUCAGUCUGUGUAAAUAAGAUACAUUGUUCUUCUAAAUUACAUUUUUGUUGCUAAAAUAUCGGUAAAUUAAAACAAAUUACUCAUAACAGCCACGCCACUUGCCACACUCCCAAAAUUAGACUGUCCCACUUUGUCCAUUAGAAAUGUUGGCAGGUAUGCAUGUAGAGCGCAAUUGAACAGUGCAAUUGAAGCAGGAAGGGGGGUACAUUGAGAAGGGGAACAUGCAGUGUAUGUGUGGAGAAUGUGUGUACGAUGAAUAAAUUCAACGUGUAUAUGUAGUGAGCAUGCAUGUUGUAUCAGCGGCGUAUGUGAUGAGUCUAAUCUUUUGUCUAAUCUUUGUAUUUUGUUCCAGGUUUUUUAGAUCCUAAAAGACAACUGGAAAAAUUACCCCACCUGGUGUUGAUGGGUGCUCACACUGGCAUGGGAGGAAUGGAGUAAACUGAUAUGCAUAGGGAAGAGAACAAAGAGAGAGUGCCUAACAAAAUAUAAAUUAAUUCAUUAGAAGAAAAUACAAAGUUGCAUUCAUAAUAAAAACAGGUGUAAAAGAAGGUGAGGUAGGAAG
This 4554-nucleotide long non-coding RNA is filed under the name Pelobates cultripes (western spadefoot toad). The record is from RNAcentral. Lineage: Eukaryota; Metazoa; Chordata; Amphibia; Anura; Pelobatidae.